This 81-nucleotide transfer RNA is filed under the name Sphingopyxis sp. LC363. RNAcentral describes it as "tRNA-Thr". Lineage: Bacteria; Pseudomonadati; Pseudomonadota; Alphaproteobacteria; Sphingomonadales; Sphingopyxidaceae. The record is from RNAcentral.
CGGCGGUGGUCAGCGGCGCGCUGUUGCUCGCGCCGUCGGUGCCGGCGCGGAUCGGGUAGCGGUUCGCGCCGCUGCCGUCGC